AUAGCGGAUACCGAAAAGCUAAGAUAGAGUAGGUA
Molecule: non-coding RNA, 35 nt
Filed under: unclassified sequences
Description: DUF805b RNA
Rfam family: DUF805b RNA
About the family: Bacteroidetes, Chlorobi (1 example), Proteobacteria.
Source: RNAcentral